GAUGAACGCUGGCGGCGUGCCUAAUACAUGCAAGUCGAGCGAACAGACGAGGAGCUUGCUCCUUCGACGUUAGCGGCGGACGGGUGAGUAACACGUAGGUAACCUACCUAUAAGACUGGGAUAACUUCGGGAAACCGGAGCUCAUACCGGAUAAUAUUUCGAACCGCAUGGUUCGAUAGUGAAAGAUGGCAUUGCUAUCACUUAUAGAUGGACCUGCGCCGUAUUAGCUAGUUGGUAAGGUAACGGCUUACCAAGGCAACGAUACGUAGCCGACCUGAGAGGGUGAUCGGCCACACUGGAACGGAGACACGGUCCAGACUCCUACGGGAGGCAGCAGUAGGGAAUCUUCCGCAAGGGGCGAAAGCCUGACGGAGCAACGCCGCGUGAGUGAUGAAGGUCUUCGGAUCGUAAAACUCUGUUAUUAGGGAAGAACAAACGUGUAAGUAAAUGUGCAGGUCUUGACGGUACCUAAACAGAAAGCCACGGCUAACUACGUG
This 497-nucleotide ribosomal RNA is filed under the name uncultured bacterium. RNAcentral describes it as "partial 16S ribosomal RNA". It matches the Rfam family "Bacterial small subunit ribosomal RNA", at positions 28 to 507 of the family's 1533-position model. The record is from RNAcentral.